GCUUGGAUCGUGGGGCGUCCUUCAUAUUCUGGGCCAAAAGGAGAGCUGCAUCUUGUUUUUGGGGUCAGUAGCUUGGCUUCCCUGAGGACCAGAUGAAGUUGCUCUGGUUUGGCUAUCAGAACUACGGGUGGCAGAAGGUUUGCAGUGAGGUGUUCAGGAUGAUGGCGGGGAGUAGAAGACCGGACCUGCUGGUCUUACACGCAUGUGGUAAUGACCUCGGGCUUAUCCCACAGCGUCUCUUGGUUAAGCGAAUGAAACAGGAUAUUAACCGUAUUAGGGUGAGGGUCCCUGGGGUGCAGCUGGUCUGAUCUGAAAUGGUUCCCCGGCUCCGUUGGUGGCACACUCGGGACCCGGCAGCUGUUGGUCGAUGCCGGACGAAGGUGAACGGGUUGAUGGCUAGCUUUGUCAGGAAUUUGGGGGGAGUGGUGGUCCAGCACAGGGUGCUGGAAGGUGUGUUAGCAGGCUAUUUCUCUCCUGAUGGGAUCCAUCUCUCAGAUGUGGGGUGGGACCUGUUUAAUUUAGGGUUGCAGGACGGCUUGGCCAGGGCGUUAUUUCU
Non-coding RNA from Pelobates cultripes (western spadefoot toad), 556 nucleotides. Lineage: Eukaryota; Metazoa; Chordata; Amphibia; Anura; Pelobatidae. The record is from the annotation of a GenBank genome assembly.